ACUCCUAAUUAGAUUAGGAUUGAGCGAAUUAACACUAUAAAGAGGAUAAUGGUGAAAAAGUAUAUUUGGCUUUCAACUCAUGAAGUGAGGCUGUCGCCCAUUGUAGAGAAGGGCUUUGCCUGCUAAAAAUUUGGCUCUGCCUAUUGAUGAAGGGCACUUAUCCAUUGCAAUAGAGAAAGGCUUUUGGCGUAUAGUUAAAGACACCCUUUGUAAUGUAGUAUUAUAAUAGUAAAUA
RNAcentral lists this unclassified non-coding RNA (235 nucleotides) under Hevea brasiliensis (rubber tree). Lineage: Eukaryota; Viridiplantae; Streptophyta; Magnoliopsida; Malpighiales; Euphorbiaceae. The record is from RNAcentral.